This 252-nucleotide ribosomal RNA is filed under the name uncultured bacterium. RNAcentral describes it as "partial 16S ribosomal RNA". It matches the Rfam family "Bacterial small subunit ribosomal RNA", at positions 524 to 776 of the family's 1533-position model. The record is from RNAcentral.
UACGUAGGGGGCAAGCGUUGUCCGGAUUUAUUGGGCGUAAAGCGCGCGCAGGCGGUUGUUUAAGGCGGGUGUCUAAACCUUGGGCUCAACCUGGGGACGCAUCCGAAACUGGGCAACUGGAGUGUAGGAGAGGAAAGUGGAAUUCCACGUGUAGCGGUGAAAUGCGUAGAGAUGUGGAGGAACCCCAGUGGCGAAGGCGGCUUUCUGGUCUGUAACUGACGCUGAGUCGCGAAAGCGUGGGGAGCAAACAGG